This 494-nucleotide ribosomal RNA is filed under the name uncultured bacterium. RNAcentral describes it as "partial 16S ribosomal RNA". It matches the Rfam family "Bacterial small subunit ribosomal RNA", at positions 28 to 507 of the family's 1533-position model. The record is from RNAcentral.
GACGAACGCUGGCGGCGCGCUUAACACAUGCCAGUCGAACGGAAAGGCCUGCUUUCCCUUGUGGAUUGCGGGUACUCGAGUGGCGAACGGGUGAGUAACACGUGAGUGAUCUGCCCCCAACUUGGGUAUAAGCCUGGGAAACUGGGUCUAAUUCCCGAUAGGACUGCAGGGUGGUGCCUGUGGUGGAAAACGAUUUUCUAGUGGUUGGGGAUGAGCUCGCGGCCUAUCAGCUUGUUGGUGGGGUAAUGGCCUACCAAGGCGGCGACGGGUAGCCGGCCUGAGAGGGUGGACGGCCACAUUGGGACUGAGAUACGGCCCAGACUCCUACGGGAGGCAGCAGUGGGGAAUAUUGCACAAUGGGCGGAAGCCUGAUGCAGCGACGCCGCGUGGGGGACGACGGCCUUCGGGUUGUAAACUCCUUUCGACCGCGAGGAAGCCACCUGGUUGGAAGGGUGGUGACGGUAGUGGUAGAAGAAGCACCGGCUAACUACGUG